This 84-nucleotide transfer RNA is filed under the name Chryseobacterium sp. CH1. RNAcentral describes it as "tRNA-Tyr". It matches the Rfam family "tRNA". Rfam says of the family: Transfer RNA (tRNA) molecules are approximately 80 nucleotides in length. The record is from RNAcentral. RNAcentral also lists the same sequence under 5 other names. Lineage: Bacteria; Pseudomonadati; Bacteroidota; Flavobacteriia; Flavobacteriales; Weeksellaceae.
GGGGAGAUUCCAGAGUGGCUAAAUGGGACUGACUGUAACUCAGUUGCUUCGGCUUCGUAGGUUCGAAUCCUGCUCUCCCCACUA